RNAcentral lists this ribosomal RNA (279 nucleotides) under Triticum aestivum (bread wheat). RNAcentral's name for it is "partial small subunit ribosomal RNA". The record is from RNAcentral. Lineage: Eukaryota; Viridiplantae; Streptophyta; Magnoliopsida; Poales; Poaceae.
AUGGCUGUCCUGCGCAUCCCAAAAAGAUUCUACAAGGACGUCGACAAGGCACGGUGGCGGUUCCUGUGGGUGCACGACCACGAGGUCACCGGCGGUAGAUGCAAAGUAAACUGGCGGUUAGUCACGUCCCCGGUCGAUCACGGCGGCCUCGGCAUCCCCAGCAUGGAGCGGUUCGCACGUGCAUUGUGCCUCCGUUGGUUGUGGUUGGCGUGGACGGACCCGGCCAGGCCAUGGGCACGCAUGGGGACGCCUUGUGACGACAAGGAUAGAGCACUCUUC